RNAcentral lists this long non-coding RNA (1362 nucleotides) under Canis lupus familiaris (dog). RNAcentral describes it as "lncRNA (ENSCAFG00030012991.1)". Lineage: Eukaryota; Metazoa; Chordata; Mammalia; Carnivora; Canidae. The record is from RNAcentral.
GGAACGGAAAUUAACAUUUCAGGCAACGUCUCACAUUGUUCCUUGAGGCCAAGGACUGCUGUUGCAGCCGCCACCGCCACCGCUUCCCUCCCACCCGCCCCCCGGUCCCGCCUCCCCUCCCCCCGAGACGACACCCCCGCGCCGCUGCCCCGCAUUCCUGCCCCUCCGCGGGCCCACGCGCGCCGCCUGCACCCCCGGCGCCCCCACUCUCCCUUCACGACUCGGGCUCGCCCGCCCCCUCCGGCUCGGAGCCCGAGAGCCGCCUGCUCCCGUUUCAAAACAGUGAUAAUAAUAGGGACGCUGGGAAUAACAACUACAACCCACAGCGCGGAGGCCCCCGCCCCGGGUCAGAGGUCGGCGCACCCGCACCCCAGGCGCCCGGGGCCCCCGCCCCCCGAGCGCAGCCUCCAGCCCUCGCGGCAGCCCCGGGCCGCCCCGGCCCCCCCGGCGCGCUGCACGGCCGCCGGGCCCCCCGCCCCGCCCGGAGACCCCCGUCUGUCCCCUCGCGGCGGCCCCCGGCGCCCAGCCCCACCCGGAGCCCCACCCGGAGCCCCUCGCGGCCGCCCCCGGGCCCCCCGGCCCAUCGGGAGACCCUCGCGGCGGCCCCGAGCCCCCCAGGAGCCCCGGGAGCCCCCCUCGCGGCCACCCGGGCCCCCCAGGCCAGCCCGAAACCGCCAGUCGGGCCCUCACGGCGGCCCAGGCGGCCCAGGCGCCCCAGGAGCCCCCGGAGCCCGCGUCAGCCGCUCACGGCGGCCCGGACCCCCCGGAGCCCCAGGUCGGCCCCUCAGGCCCCCGGGCCCGCCGGCGCCCGUCGCGCUGCUCCGCCCGGAGGGGAGGCCUGCAGGCCGCACGGCGGCCCCGUGCCCCCGCGCCCGCCCCGACCCCCGGCCCGGCCCGCGGCGGCUCUCACCGGCUCCCGGCUGCACUGCUCCGCGGGCUCCGCGGGCUCAGCGGCGGCGCGCGGGCGAGGCCAUGCAGCCCCGGCCCGUCUCCCGGCCCGAGCGGGAAGGCGGCGGCGGCGGGCUCCGAGCGCCGGCGAAGCGGCGAGGCCGGCGGGAGGCGAGCCCGCCCCUCGGGCGCGGCCAGGCUCGGGCGGCGCCGCGGCGGCGCGGGCGCUCACUGAAGGGACGUCGGGCCGCGCGCUCGGCGGCGGCGCCUCCCCGCCUGGGGCCCUCGCUCCAUCGCGCUCCGGCUCCGCGGCCUCUGGCUCCGGGACCCGGCGGCGGCUGCGGCGGGCGCCGGCCGCAUGAGACGCCGCCGCCCAUUGGCCCGCCGUAUCCGCCUCCGCCAUUGGCCCGCUGCGGCCGGGCACAGGGCUGCGCACGUCACGGCGUCGGGGAGGAAGUGCGCCGGCGGGGGUGA